CAAUUUAAACAACGAAGAGUUUGAUCCUGGCUCAGGAUGAACGCUAGCGACAGGCUUAACACAUGCAAGUCGAGGGGCAGCACAGGUAGCAAUACCGGGUGGCGACCGGCGCACGGGUGAGUAACGCGUAUGCAACUUGCCUAUCAGAGGGGGAUAACCCGGCGAAAGUCGGACUAAUACCGCAUGAAGCAGGGAUCCCGCAUGGGAAUAUUUGCUAAAGAUUCAUCGCUGAUAGAUAGGCAUGCGUUCCAUUAGGCAGUUGGCGGGGUAACGGCCCACCAAACCGACGAUGGAUAGGGGUUCUGAGAGGAAGGUCCCCCACAUUGGUACUGAGACACGGACCAAACUCCUACGGGAGGCAGCAGUGAGGAAUAUUGGUCAAUGGCCGAGAGGCUGAACCAGCCAAGUCGCGUGAGGGAUGAAGGUUCUAUGGAUCGUAAACCUCUUUUAUAAGGGAAUAAAGUGCGGGACGUGUCCCGUUUUGUAUGUACCUUAUGAAUAAGGAUCGGCUAACUCCGUGCCAGCAGCCGCGGUAAUACGGAGGAUCCGAGCGUUAUCCGGAUUUAUUGGGUUUAAAGGGUGCGUAGGCGGCCUUUUAAGUCAGCGGUGAAAGUCUGUGGCUCAACCAUAGAAUUGCCGUUGAAACUGGGGGGCUUGAGUAUGUUUGAGGCAGGCGGAAUGCGUGGUGUAGCGGUGAAAUGCAUAGAUAUCACGCAGAACCCCGAUUGCGAAGGCAGCCUGCCAAGCCAUUACUGACGCUGAUGCACGAAAGCGUGGGGAUCAAACAGGAUUAGAUACCCUGGUAGUCCACGCAGUAAACGAUGAUCACUAGCUGUUUGCGAUACACUGUAAGCGGCACAGCGAAAGCGUUAAGUGAUCCACCUGGGGAGUACGCCGGCAACGGUGAAACUCAAAGGAAUUGACGGGGGCCCGCACAAGCGGAGGAACAUGUGGUUUAAUUCGAUGAUACGCGAGGAACCUUACCCGGGUUUGAACGCAUUCGGACCGAGGUGGAAACACCUUUUCUAGCAAUAGCCGUUUGCGAGGUGCUGCAUGGUUGUCGUCAGCUCGUGCCGUGAGGUGUCGGCUUAAGUGCCAUAACGAGCGCAACCCUUGCCACUAGUUACUAACAGGUUAGGCUGAGGACUCUGGUGGGACUGCCAGCGUAAGCUGCGAGGAAGGCGGGGAUGACGUCAAAUCAGCACGGCCCUUACAUCCGGGGCGACACACGUGUUACAAUGGCGUGGACAAAGGGAGGCCACCUGGCGACAGGGAGCGAAUCCCCAAACCACGUCUCAGUUCGGAUCGGAGUCUGCAACCCGACUCCGUGAAGCUGGAUUCGCUAGUAAUCGCGCAUCAGCCAUGGCGCGGUGAAUACGUUCCCGGGCCUUGUACACACCGCCCGUCAAGCCAUGGGAGCCGGGGGUACCUGAAGUCCGUAACCGAAAGGAUCGGCCUAGGGUAAAACUGGUGACUGGGGCUAAGUCGUAACAAGGUAGCCGUACCGGAAGGUGCGGCUGGAACACCUCCUUUCU
Molecule: ribosomal RNA, 1535 nt
Filed under: Parabacteroides distasonis
Lineage: Bacteria; Pseudomonadati; Bacteroidota; Bacteroidia; Bacteroidales; Tannerellaceae
Description: bacterial SSU rRNA
Rfam family: Bacterial small subunit ribosomal RNA
Source: RNAcentral